CACCUACGGGUGGCUGCAGUCGAGAAUCUUCGGCAAUGAGCGCAAGCUUGACCGAGCGACGCCGCGUGCGGGAUGAAGGCCUUCGGGUUGUAAACCGCUUUGGUCCGAAAGAAAGGGUAAAACUUGAUCGAUCGGAGAAACAAGGACGGGCUAAGUUCGUGCCAGCAGCCGCGGUAAGACGAACCGUCCAAACGUUAUUCGGAAUCACUGGGCUUAAAGGGCGCGUAGGCGGCCGAGCGGGUCGUGGGUGAAAUCCCCCAGCUUAACUGGGGAACUGCUUACGAUACCACUGCGGCUCGAGGAAGGAAGGGGCAAUUGGAACUGUCGGUGGAGCGGUGAAAUGCGUUGAUAUCGACAGGAACGCCUGUGGCGAAAGCGAAUUGCUGGUCCUUUUCUGACGCUGAGGCGCGAAAGCCAGGGGAGCAAACGGGAUUAGAUACCCCGGUAGUCCUGGCCUUAAACGAUGAGAACUAGGUAGUGGGUCCGACCUGGGCACACUGCCGAAGCGAAAGUCUUA
RNAcentral lists this ribosomal RNA (517 nucleotides) under uncultured bacterium. RNAcentral describes it as "bacterial SSU rRNA". It matches the Rfam family "Bacterial small subunit ribosomal RNA", at positions 335 to 862 of the family's 1533-position model. The record is from RNAcentral.